GGGACUUAGUUGAUGGUGACUCUGUUCUCUUCAACAUGUGGCUUUCAAGGUUGCCCUGAGUAUCAACAUCCACUAAUAAAAGCAGAAAAAGUAUGGAGAGAGGUACAUGGGAAGUUUUAAUGAGGCAGGCUAUAGGAAGAUAAUGAAAGAAAUUUGGAGAAGAACUGAUUGAAAUUAAAGCAAUUUCAAAGGACAUACAUGCCCUUUGAUGCAUCCCCUUUAAGGAAUUUAUACUACAAAUACGCUACAUACAUUGUGCAGAAUGAGGUCUAUACAAAUAUAUUCACUACAAUAUUGAUUUUAGGCCAGGCACGUUGGCUCACACCUGUAAUCCAAGCACUUUGGGAGGCUGAGGAGUGGUGGGGGGAUCACCUGAGCCUCCAAAAUUGUUGGGAUUACAGGCGUGAGCCACUGUGCCCAGCUCUCUCUUGACUUCUAUACUGGGGGAUUGCAAGAAUCCAAGGCAUCUGCCAGUAACACUAUGAAUUAGUUUGUAGUUUCUAAAAUUUCAUAUAAAUGGAGUCAUAGAAUAUAUACCUUUUUUUGGUCUGGUUUCUUUCACUCAGGAUAAAAAUCUUGAGAUUCAUCCAUGACACUGCAGUAGAUAUUGCUAUUUCUUUGUAUUCCUCAGAAGUAUUCCAUUGUAUGAAUUUGUAUGGAUAUACCACAAUUUAUCCCUUCAUCUGUUGAUAAUAUUUGGAUUGUUUCCAGUUUCUGACCAUUUCAAAUAAAGCUACUAUAAAUAAAUCUUUGUAUGGAUAAAUGCUUUCAUUUUUCUUAGGUAAAUACCAGGAGUAGAAAAUUUGGAUUAUAUGUGAGGUAUAUGUUUAACUUUUUAAGAGACUGAACGACUGGGUGCAGUGACUCACACCUUUAAUCCCAGCACUUUGGGGGGCCAAGGCGGGCAGAUCAUGAGGUCAGGAGCUUGAGACCAACCUGGCUAACCUGGUGAAACCCUGUCUCUACUAAAAAUACAAAAAAAAAAAAAAAAAAAAUUAGGUGGUGUGCGCCUAUAAUCCCAGGUACUUGGAAGGUUGAGGCAAGAGAAUUGCUUGAACCCAGAAGGUGGAGGUUGCAGUGAGCUGAGAUGGUGCCACUGCACUCCAGCCCGAGUGACACAGCAAGACUUCAUCUGGGAGGGAAAAAAAAACAACAAAAAAAACACUAAACAGUUUUCCAUAGUUGUUCUGCUAUUUUACAUUCCCAUCAGCAACUUAAGAAAAUUCCAGGCCAGGUGUGGUGGCUCAUGCCUGUAAUUCCAGCAUUUUGGGAGGCCAAGGCAGAUGGAUCAUUUGAAGUCAGGAGUUUGAGACCAGUCUAGACAAUACGGUGAAACCCAUCUCUACUAAAAAUACAAAAAUUAGCUGGGUGUGGUGGCACACGCCUGUAAUCCCAGCUACUAAGGAGGCUGAAACAUGAGAUUGCCAACAUUUGGUAUGGUCAGCCAUUCUAAUACUGGCCAUUUUAAUAUAUAUGUAGUAGUAUUUCAGUGUAAUUUUUAAUUUCCAGUGACUAAUGAUGUUGAACAACUUUUCAUAUACUUACUUUCCACUUGUGUAUCUUUUUGGAGGAAGUGUCUGUUCAAAUAUUUAUCUAUUUUAACAAUUGGGUUGUUUUCUUAUUAUUGAAAGUUCUUUAUAUAUUGUGGGUAAAAGUUAUCAGAUACACAAUUUAUAAAUACUUUCUCCCAGUCUGUGCCUUGUGUUCAUUCUCUUAAUAGUCACUUUUGCAGAGCAAAAGAUUUUUUUAUUAAGUUCAGCUAGUUUUUAAAAAACGUAUUAUGCUUUUGGUGUUAUACCUAAAAAAUCUUUUCUGCUUUUCGGCUUUCUGCUCAGAGGAGGCCAAGGUGCAACUUUCUUCGGUCGUCCCAAAUCUGGGUUCAUC
Callithrix jacchus (white-tufted-ear marmoset) is the source of this 1884-nucleotide long non-coding RNA. Lineage: Eukaryota; Metazoa; Chordata; Mammalia; Primates; Cebidae. The record is from Ensembl.